CCUACGGGAGGCAGCAGUAGGGAAUCUUCCACAAUGGGUGAAAACCUGAUGGAGCAAUACCGCGUGAGUGAAGAAGGUCUUCGGAUCGUAAAGCUCUGUUGUUAGAGAAGAACAAGUCGGGUAGUAACUGCCCCGGCCUUGACGGUAUCUAACCAGAAAGUCACGGCUAACUACGUGCCAGCAGCCGCGGUAAU
This 194-nucleotide ribosomal RNA is filed under the name uncultured bacterium. RNAcentral describes it as "partial 16S ribosomal RNA". It matches the Rfam family "Bacterial small subunit ribosomal RNA", at positions 338 to 524 of the family's 1533-position model. The record is from RNAcentral.